Molecule: long non-coding RNA, 4033 nt
Organism: Apis cerana (Asiatic honeybee)
Lineage: Eukaryota; Metazoa; Arthropoda; Insecta; Hymenoptera; Apidae
Source: RefSeq, a predicted model, not a curated record
AACGGGGAUUAACAACGAAAUUAACGGAGGAAGGAAAAGUGAUGGAAAGUAAAACUCGGCAAAUCCUUUCCCCCUCGAUGUAUUUAUUCAACUACGAUCUGUUUGGACAAGGUCCGUGGCCGUUUCCAUCCUAUCGAUUUUCCCACACCCUCCCCCCGUUUCGCCGUAACCGUUCGAAUUUCUGCGUCGUCGUCGUCGUCGACGUCGCCGCCAUCCCCUCUGCUCGCCACCUUCCCCGGCACGAUGGUUUUAGUGGUUACAGUGGCUACACACCCCCGCGAUAAACUCGAGAAUUCGCCACGCUGGUAUUGCCCGGCUCGAAAUAGACGAGCGGAGCAGAACCGUCGCGCUAUUAACAUAAGAACACCGUGACCGAUCGCUUCGACCCACCAUUCCCUCUCCCCACGAUCUCUCUAUUACGCUGAUUUCUCCACCCUUGCCGUAUAUCGUUCGGAUACACGCUGCUUUUCUACCCCCUCUCUUUCUUUCUUUCUUUCUUUUUUUUUCCCCCCUUCCGUUCUUUCUUUCUUUCUUUCUUCACAGGAUACGUGCUCGAAAUGAGAACGAGGCAGGAAAUUUGUGAUCCCACGUUCGAGGCCUCGGAUUAAGAGAUUGCUUCUUUUCUACGGGACGGUUUCUGGAGGAGAGGAGAGUUAGUUCGAGGAGAUGAAGUUAAUGUUGCGUUAACAACUCUUCCAGCCCCUGUCCGAUCCCGGCGAGAUAUGGAUUUUCUGGGCAGGAGGGGGUGAAGCGGACGCUUUCGCGUCGAUUCGUUUUCGUCGUGGUUUUUAGCGUGAAAAGAAACAAGUUUCUUUUUUUUCCCCCCCUUCAAAACGAGAUGGAGACAAGAGGAGAACGUUCUUGUACGAGUGUUGUUCUAAAACUAAAUCCACGAGAUAAUUUUCGAUCGAAACGCCGAUUUAAAGGAAGAAUAAAACAAAUAGAUCCAUCGAAUCGAAGUGUCCCCCUUUUCCAACCAGAGCCAGAAGCUAAUUUCGGUUCCCCCCUCCUCGUGUGUUGUGACAAUCAUCGGACGAAAACGGCGGAAGAAGAAGAGCGGAUCACGCGUGGACCUGACACGCGAUCCUCGUCACCGGUUGCAUCCGUGGAAAAAGGGGGCCACGUGAAGGACGACGAGAUGGGGAGGGGGAGGAAAUGUCACCAAGCGGAACCCAAACUACGGCCGGAAGUCGCCGGUCACGUGACCGGGGCGACGCGCGACAUUGUACGCCGGCAUAAUAAACCGAGUCCUGUUCCCCCGUGUCCUAAGUGUUCUAUCUCUCUUUCUCUCUCUGGAAGAAGAAGAAGAAGAAGAGAAGAGAGAGAGACACUGAUUUAUGACAGGAUUCGAAGCGAUCGCGUCGAACCGAUCCCCCCUUUCUGUCCAUUUGGGGUUACGUUUAAAGGUUCGCCAUUCUAUCCGGGAUUCUGCCACCGAUUCGCCGCUCUCGAUCGGUUUGAUUCGAUUCACAGCGGACUGUAUUUGGAGAAAUCGAACAAUAUAGUUCCAAUUGAUCGAAAGGAUAGUCGAACGAAACUGGAUGAUUAAUAAAAUACGUCGUUUUAUCAUCAGUGACCAUUUCCAUAAAGUAGCAUAAAUUGUAUUAUGAAUCUGUGAUAUCUUAAAUAAUAAUUAUUAUCCAAUAUUUCUUUAAUUAAUAUUUAAUUGUAAUUUCAAUUAGAGAAAGAAAUAAUAAAUUUUUCAGAUCGUUCCGAGCUUGCAUCGGAGGCCAAGUUUUCGAACGAAAAUCUGGACGUUACAAAUUAUCGGUGCACAUUGUCCUGUCAGAGCGCGAAACGGCCGCGAUAUCGACGGUUACGCAUUAGUCGACUCGUAUCCGACGCUCGACACGCGCGUCUACGUACUCACCGCCAUUUGCAUACGUGAUUACACGUCGCGGCCGGACCGAAUUGCCCGGCCUUGUAUUAUCUUUAUGUACCUGUCCACGGUUCAAAGGGCUAAGUGUCAACCGUGGGCUUGGCUGCGCUUCGAUGAUUCGUGCGGGGUUGUGAAUAUCGGCGAAGGGAGAGAUCGAUCGAGGAAAAGGGAGAUCUGCGAGGAGAAAGAGUAAUUGUUAGAAGGAAUUGUCGAAUAUUUGUUUCGAGUCGAGUGAAAAUGCUUUUUUCGUGUGAAAUAAUUGGAAGGGAUUGGAUCGUGACGAGGAAAGUUAAAAAGGAAGAGGAAAUAUUUAAAGAUAUUGAAUAAAAAAAGAAACGUGAUUGUUCAAAACAAAAAUGCGAUCAAAUUAUUACGCAUUCGUGAUAUUAUGUUUCGUCUUAACUUGUAAGCAAUCGUCCUUUCCACGUUGGAAAACAGAAAAACACGCAAAUUCUACUCGAGCGACAAUCAAAACAAUCGACACGUGUUUGGAUACACGUUUGCGAUUCGACAUUGUUCGAGCGCGUUCCGUCCUGGAAAUAAAUAUUACGGUGUUAUUACAAAUUACGACGGAAUAGUCGAGCCGCAGACCUCGCCGUGAUCGGAUCGAUUCUCCUGCCUCCUUCGCAAAUCUGUUCCGUUUAAUCGGAUUUCGACAUCGAUUGCUAACCAGAUGGUAAAACGUAUCGCAGCUCUCCGAUCCAGUCGAAUAAACCACGUGAUAAACGUUCGAGUGGGAUAACUCGACUAUCAACUAUGCGAAACUCGCAACUAUGUCGAGUGGCUAAUUAUAAUUUACCUACAUAAAAAACACUCCAACGCUCCAUCUUACACACCCUUACCUCCUCCUAAUUAAAAACUCGCUCAAACUCGAUCCUCCGUAACGCAACCGCAGCUACCCUCUCGCGUGCCUCGCGUCACCUCGACGUCGUCCGCCACGGAAAAAGUGAGAAGAAGACAACUCACCACUUAGAUUCGUAAAUCCUGGACCAAGAAAGAAGAAAAGAAACUCGCGAGACAUUGAACGUUGGUUGGAAUUAGGAUUAUGUAUACGUUCCUCGCGUAUUUGCGCAUCCCUCGGACCGUUAGAAAGCUCGAGCGCAGUCGUGAAGCCACUCGAGCAGGUCGUUGACGGGGCCAGGAGGAUUCUCCCCGAGAAAGCAACCCCGUCGAGGAGUCAUCGAACAGUUCACUAUAUCAUCGAGCCACUCGGGAGACUAACUCUUUAAUCGCGCGACUUUUGAUCCAACGACACCCUUCCACGACCGAUCGGUCGCGAAUGAAGAGGGCUCGAGCUCGGAUCUCGCUUUUUCCAUCCACGUUUCCAUCCGCCGCGUCCAAAAUCGAAUCAAUCCCGCGAUCGAAUCUACGCCACCUCCUGUUCUUGCCCAUCGUUCUUACAAAGGAGAACCAACCCUCCCCCCUCGAGUUAAUCCAACCGACUUUCGAGGGAAACGCGGCGGUUCUCGGUCGGCGUGACGCUAUUCCGGGAAUGUGGGAAUCGCCACCGAGAUCCUAUCCGGGGGCCUCGUGAUUAACGCGAGUUUUUCCCUUCUUUUCUUCCUUCGAGAGGGGGAUAGAAGAGGAAGGGAGAGGAGAAGAUUCUUGGGAAGGAAUGAAGUUUGGAGCGCUAAGAACGAAGAAAAUGAAUAUAUUUCUUAAGAAAGGGAGAAAUGGAAAAUGGAUUCUUGGGAAGGAAUAAAGUUUGGAUAAAUUAUUGGAGAACCAAGAAAAUGAAUAUAUCUAUUUACCUAUUUCUUAAGUAAGGGAGAAAUGAAAAAUGGAUUCUUGGGAAGGAAUAAAGUUUGGAUAAAUUAUUGGAACGCCAAGAAUGAAGAAAAUGAAUAUAUCUAUUUACCUAUUUCUUAAGUAAGGGAGAAAUGAAAAAUGGAUUCUUGGGAAGGAAUAAAUUAUUAGAGUGCUAAGAACGAAGAAAAUAAAUAUAUAUAUCUAUUUAUCUAUUUCUUAAGAAAGAGAAAAAGUUAAGAACGAAGGUUUCUUUUUGGAUUCUUGGAAAGAAAUAAAGUUUGGAUAAAUUAUUGGAGAACCAAGAAAAUGAAUAUAUUUAUUUACCUAUUUCUUAAGUAAGGGAGAAAUGAAAAAUGUAUUCUUGGGAAGGAAUAAAGUUUGGAUAAAUUAUUGGAGCGCCAAGAA